RNAcentral lists this ribosomal RNA (669 nucleotides) under Triticum aestivum (bread wheat). RNAcentral's name for it is "partial small subunit ribosomal RNA". Lineage: Eukaryota; Viridiplantae; Streptophyta; Magnoliopsida; Poales; Poaceae. The record is from RNAcentral.
AUGGCUGGUGCCGAUGAAUUUUCUUCUGGUGGGGAAGACGCUGAACAGCACGCUGGCGAAGGCGGUGAUUCCGAGAGGCAGGUUCCUGAACAGCUGCUGUGCCUCCUCCCCCGCGUUCGGGAAGAAGCAGUUCUGGAUCCCCACGUCGGUCAACGCCAUUGCCAAGAACACGAGCACCACGAGGACGGCAUGAACAAGGUCCUGGCCCCUCAGGCGGCGCCUCUUCAGCUCCGGCAAGAUGUCGGAGAACUCCACGUCCUCCUCCCCCUUGGACAGGUUGAGCACGUUGAGGCGGCCGCAGGUGGCCACGCCGUAGUACAGCUUGCCGUUGUGGACCAGGGAGUCCGUCAGGACGAAGAAGAAGCAGGAGAGGGAGAGCACCACGAGCAGCACCAUGGUGAUGUACCAGUUGCUGCUGUAGCACUUGCCCCCGUUGCUGAAGGACGAGGCCAGCAUCUGGUAUAUCAUCACCGUCCCCGACGGCAGCAGCUGCGUCAGGUUCGCCGUCGCCGCCAGAAUCGGCCUGUCCACCCCGGCCGCCGACACCGGCUUGAUGAGCGGCGUGUGCCCUGCCUCGAUGUCGUCCAUGGCACCGCUGAGUGCUGCCAUUUGCUCGGCUCACUUGUAAUUUCUGAUGCGUACGUGUGUGUGUGUUUACUAGCACGGUAG